GGGAAUGUGGUUCAGUGGUAGAGUGCUUGCCUUGCAUGCAUGAGGCCCUGGGUUCAAUUCCUCAGCACCA
This 70-nucleotide transfer RNA is filed under the name Dipodomys ordii (Ord's kangaroo rat). It matches the Rfam family "tRNA". Rfam says of the family: Transfer RNA (tRNA) molecules are approximately 80 nucleotides in length. Their secondary structure includes four short double-helical elements and three loops (D, anti-codon, and T loops). The record is from Rfam by way of RNAcentral. Lineage: Eukaryota; Metazoa; Chordata; Mammalia; Rodentia; Heteromyidae.